AUACGGAGGGUGCGAGCGUUAAUCGGAAUUACUGGGCGUAAAGCGCGCGUAGGCGGCUUUGUAAGUCGGAUGUGAAAGCCCUGGGCUUAACCUGGGAAUUGCACUCGAUACUGCAGAGCUAGAGUAUGGUAGAGGGAAGUGGAAUUUCCGGUGUAGCGGUGAAAUGCGUAGAUAUCAGAAGGAACACCAGUGGCGAAGGCGACUUCCUGGGCCAAUACUGACGCUGAGGUGCGAAAGCGUGGGGAGCAAACAGGAUUAGAAACCCGUGUAGUCC
RNAcentral lists this ribosomal RNA (274 nucleotides) under uncultured bacterium. RNAcentral describes it as "partial 16S ribosomal RNA". It matches the Rfam family "Bacterial small subunit ribosomal RNA", at positions 523 to 796 of the family's 1533-position model. The record is from RNAcentral.